Long non-coding RNA from Camelus dromedarius (Arabian camel), 247 nucleotides. RefSeq lists it as uncharacterized. The transcript has 3 exons. The record is from RefSeq and is a predicted model, not a curated record. Lineage: Eukaryota; Metazoa; Chordata; Mammalia; Artiodactyla; Camelidae.
CCUGAAACACAAAGAGAAAAAAGGACUAGGAUGGAAAAAGAAUCUGUUCUGCUGGCUGAUUAAGGGAUAGAGGUGGAGAGUUGCCUGGAUCCCAGUAAGGAAGAGCAGAAGUUAGCUGCCAACAUCAUCACCACCACCACCAAUGCCAUUUAUUGAGAGCUUAUUAUAGACAUUACAGGGCUUAUACACAGAUGCUGUGGAGCAGCCUGAGAAGGGAGAGUCUUCAUCCACCUUCAGAAAGAUUGCC